GAUGAACGCUGGCGGCGUGCUUAACACAUGCAAGUCGAGCGAAGCACUUAUGAAAGAUUCUUCGGAUGAUUUCAUUUGUGACUGAGCGGCGGACGGGUGAGUAACGCGUGGGUAACCUGCCUCAUACAGGGGGAUAACAGUUGGAAACGACUGCUAAUACCGCAUAAGCGCACAGUACCGCAUGGUACAGUGUGAAAAACUCCGGUGGUAUGAGAUGGACCCGCGUCUGAUUAGCUUGUUGGUGGGGUAACGGCCUACCAAGGCAACGAUCAGUAGCCGACCUGAGAGGGUGACCGGCCACAUUGGGACUGAGUCACGGCCCAAACUCCUACGGGAGGCAGCAGUGGGGAAUAUUGCACAAUGGGGGAAACCCUGAUGCAGCAACGCCGCGUGAGUGAAGAAGUAUUUCGGUAUGUAAAGCUCUAUCAGCAGGGAAGAAAAUGACGGUACCUGACUAAGAAGCCCCGGCUAACUACGUGCCAGCCGCCGCCGCCG
RNAcentral lists this ribosomal RNA (495 nucleotides) under uncultured bacterium. RNAcentral's name for it is "partial 16S ribosomal RNA". It matches the Rfam family "Bacterial small subunit ribosomal RNA", at positions 28 to 523 of the family's 1533-position model. The record is from RNAcentral.